This 2286-nucleotide ribosomal RNA is filed under the name Triticum aestivum (bread wheat). Its description in RNAcentral is "partial small subunit ribosomal RNA". The record is from RNAcentral. Lineage: Eukaryota; Viridiplantae; Streptophyta; Magnoliopsida; Poales; Poaceae.
GAGCCCAAGCCCACCUGACGCGGUGGCCACACAGCAGACCAAGUUGCGUUUCGGCGUGGCGUGGCGCGCGGCGCCUGCGUGCCUUUUUUCCGCCGAGGGAUGGCGGCGACCGCGUCCGUGCGCGGGGUUGAGCGGGUUGGGGGUGGGACGGCGGCCGGCGCCUACUGCGGGCGCUGAGGGUGGCGGCGGCGCGGGUAGGCGGUCGUGGAGGGGAGGAGGAGCCGCGCGACGCCGUUGGGCGCGGGGUCGCGGGCGGACGCGGACGGGCGAGCGGGGGCGCGGCGGGGGAGCCGGAGGUACAGGCGGCUCCGCGCCGGCCGCGGCAGCGGGCACGGCGGCGGCCGCGUGGGGUGGAUGCUGGAGUCGCGGCAGUAGCGGGAGCGGGAGAGGCUCCUGCGGCCGCUGGCUCCCCUACACAGCACAAACCGAUGGUAUGGUUGGCUACAUUUCCGACUUCGGUGAAAAUAGCGAUUCCUCCUACCACAGUAGCGUCCGUAUUCGGAUCGACUCUACUAUAAAUUGGUCCAACUAGGCAGCAACUUCCAACUUACCAAACUCCGACUACCUUUAAUACAGGCAUUCCCUAACGUCAAACCGUUUCAUAUACCCACACGAGUCUCAUAGUAACAACGACUCUCCCAACACGAUUUAAAGUACGUUUCUUACUCACCUUAGCGAUGUUACUGCUUCCGGUACCGACUACGACGAGCAGGUCGUACGUAUGACCUUUGUUCUUUUUGACGAGGUCCAAAUGCAGACCAACUGUUCACCCGUCAUGAUUAACCACCACCCUUCUUAGUGUCCGAACCUAAUAAACUAUACCAAUACUAUUUUCUAUUAGUAUAAAGACAACGACCCCCGUAAUGUUUACGUUACUGUAGACAACUAGUCAAGAACCUCUUCCUUUUAGAACGUUAAGGACAACUCCAACUCUGCUCCUGUGAGCUCCUUCAAUCUCUAAAUAACUUCAUAUGGCUACUCUUGUUCUGAAGUAAUUGAGCAUAUUACAACCUAUUAUACCAACAUGGAGAAGGAUUACCCCUAGAUCUACAUAGUUACGAGUUUCUACGUCAAGUCAACUAUUUACCUUCUAAACUCUGUCUCCGUAGACCUUUACACUGCUAGCUAUGCCACUUCUUUUAGCCUCUUUGACCUCAAUGUAUGUAAAGUUCACCUCGCAACUGCGUAAGGCACUUCCGCGAGCUGUAUAGAGAGUUCUAUCUGUGGCUCGACCGAGAAGUUCAACCUUCCGCGUGUUUAGCGCGGACUGUGGUGUCCAACUCAAGGUGGACACAUUGAACUGGAGGGGAAGAGGAUAUGAACAUACUGGGUUGAGAAACGCCAGUUGUCCUACGAACCGCACAGACCAGCCAAGUAGUAAGCUGCUGCACGAGCGGUGCGACACUAAAGAUUGAUUAUAUCACUUCCUACGGGAGUGUUAAUAGGUCAAUGCCUGGUUGUGGUGUCAUAGAUAUCAUCAUAUGUUGCCUUCUUGUUAUUAUUAUCGGACUUACGGGUCGAAAGUCAGCAACGCUUUGUAAAUUUGACAACUAAUUCUGUCCGCCUUUAACAACGAUUUACCGCACCUUCUCCAACAUACACUGUGGUGUUUUGUGGCCAAAGCGUCCUUGACCCUUGCUUUAUUUUACCAAACAGACGGCGGAAAUGAUUUACUGGCAGACCAUUCUCUCAUUGUCGUCCCUCACCAUUAGAUCUUGGUUUUGACCAACCGACACACAAAAAUCCAAAACGAACCUUUAUUUGACCAGCUCAAGAACUUUUGUUUUGCUCCGGUUCAUUCUGCUCAGACGGUAUCUCCUCAGACUAGCAUAAAAAAAAGGCCCAAACCAUCAAUUCCCGGACAAGCCUCAGAAUGGUGAGGUCUUGAAGUGAGGGCCUCGCCCACAUCUAAGUCGACUUUUAUUUCCUCGCCCCUUUGUGGGCGAGACGUCUAGGAGCAUAAAGAACCUCGGCCGCCUGAUGACUUGUCCCGGAUCUAGAAUUAACUCUUGGUUCUUGUCAACUAGCCUGAGUACAUGAGGGAGACAAAGACUUAUAUUCAGAAACCUCUCUAAGGUGAUAGUUGGUGUAUACCUACAUACGUCUACGUAAAAUCUCACAUCUAAGUAGGUAAAACGAGACAUACAUCAGGUAUCACUUUAGAGAUGUUCCUGAAUAUAUAAAUCCUUGCCUCCUUCAUUGUAAAUAAAAAAAGAGGAUGAUGUCAUCGAGUCUUUUGUUUACGAUGUCAAAAAGCUGAUCUACUUGUUUAGAAAAUACUGUGCG